Molecule: microRNA, 21 nt
Filed under: Arabidopsis thaliana (thale cress)
Lineage: Eukaryota; Viridiplantae; Streptophyta; Magnoliopsida; Brassicales; Brassicaceae
Description: ath-miR5660
Source: miRBase by way of RNAcentral
CAGGUGGUUAGUGCAAUGGAA